GGCUCAACCGGUCGAGCCCACGCUUGACGGCCCACCGCUCAGGUCACCGGGAGCGCUACAACCGCCUUCGCGAGGCAGGGGUUGGGGGGUUCGAGUCCCCUCGUCUCCA
Molecule: transfer RNA, 109 nt
Filed under: Kribbella italica
Lineage: Bacteria; Bacillati; Actinomycetota; Actinomycetes; Propionibacteriales; Kribbellaceae
Description: tRNA-Ala
Source: RNAcentral